This 1730-nucleotide long non-coding RNA is filed under the name Hordeum vulgare. RNAcentral's name for it is "long non-coding RNA (HVUL_LNC010736)". The record is from RNAcentral. Lineage: Eukaryota; Viridiplantae; Streptophyta; Magnoliopsida; Poales; Poaceae.
UUUCUUCGUUAAUCAUAAAUAUUUAUUUCUUUACUAUUAUAAAUAAAUAAUUCUAGAAAAAUAAUCAGAACAAACAUAUAUUAUCAUGGUCACAGCUCCCCACACCAUAUCCUUCCUAUUAAUAAUUGAGAGAAAAUAAGUCGUUAAAUAAUGCAUGUUACCCAAGUGAGUGAUCAAUGCCAUCUCAUUGACGAUACAUCCAUCAUUACAAAUUGCCAAAUAACAGAAUGUGAAAACUUACAAAGAGCUUAUUUCAAACAUCAAGGGAACAACGUGUGAUAAAGCAGAUUUGCAUUAGAUGCACUUGCAACACAUAUAAGAACAUGAAUAUGUGUAUAGACAGCAUUAUUUAAGUAGAUACUAUACUACUACAUUGCGGAUGCUCUUAGAUGACAAUUUUCUUGCACGUUAAUGUACAUAUUACAUGACGGCAUUAGCACUGGAACAAUAGUUGAUAUAGAGUGUUCACUAUCUUUGUAAGGAACUUACCCCAGAUAGGCACAAUUGAUCAAGGGCCAGCAAUUUAUCUUCUAUAUUUACAUACAUAUUAGAUGGUAGUAUUCUCGUUGUAGUGGAACAACAGUUGAUGUAGAGUUUUCACUAUCUUACUAAGUAACUCACGCCGGCUAGGUGCCAUUUAUCAAUGGCUCUUCUAUUACCCUCCAUAUUAUACCUAUCGUAACAGGCCUUUCUUCUAAAAAUGCGGCUACAUAUUCCUUUCUUGCAAAAUAUUUUCGGUGUUCAGGUUAAGAAGGGAUUUCAUUCCUUUCAUGUACUAUUACUUGGUGGAUAUUCUUCCAAUGAAUUUUAGUGCUCGCCACUGAUGACAUGCUUGCUGGGUUCAAGGUGCCGCAACCACAUAUUCUAGCCAGAAGCCCAUGUCUGAAUCUUCUUGAAACCGGGCAGGGGCAGAACAGGUGUAGCCAACGCAUAUUCAAUGGAAAGAAGUACUUGUCUCGCAAUCCACCAUUUUGAAGUCUGUCUGCACAUCAAAUACUGUUCAAAUGCAUCAGCCAAGAACAUGUACUCCAGAAUUGGUAUACCAUAAUGGUUAGACAACAAUACAAAGUGGUCAAGGUGACCACAAAAGAAGGAUGGACUCUUUCAAAAAGACCCAAAAAUAAAAAGACGGUUGGACAAAAGAUUGAUAUACUAAUUCAGCACUAUCAUUCUUCAUGAAAGUGCAUUGUGAAUUGGAUGGAUUCUUGGGACUGCUCCAUGUAUAGAUGAGAUAUGAAGGUUUUAUAUUCCGAAUAGAGAUGCAUGGUACCGUGACCAAACCCUAUUAAGAAGAUACACGUUUCCAGACGAAUAAGAAGAAACAACCAGAAGGAGCGGGUCAAGAAGGGCACCUGCCGGUACCUAUGAGCAACUUCUCUGGCGAGGUGGAGAUUUACUUCUCGUGGCACAGUAUGCCGUGGGGCUGGUGCUGCAGGGACUCUCAAAGCUAGGCAUCAUGAUUAAGGAAGACCCAAACCUGAGCAUGGUGAUUAUGAACGACCCAAAGCUGGGCAUCAUGGUUAGCGACGACUGCCCCAACCCCCAAGGAGAACAUGAUGGAUGUAAUAGAUUGGGUUACCUGUUUCCCUUUUUUUGGGUAGUAAUUUUGUUGACCUUUUAUGGUUUUAGGUGCUAAUAAUUGUGGCUUUUUAAUGGAACGAUCAUCGUGGCUUUUUUUAGAUAGAUCAUCGUGGCUUGUAAAUACUACUCCUUCCGUAAACUAAUAUAAG